AAAGCAGAGGCCCUACGCUUGCCCAACUGGGCAGAGGGAUCCUCCUCCUGUCAUCAUUGGCAAAAAGUGUAAUCUGAAUGCCAUAGCUACCAGAUUUGAAGCACUUCAAAGAAAUGAAGAGAUAAUGGGUUAAAACCAUGGAGGAGAGCCCCAUCAGCUGCACACUCAGAAGAUCUGAUUACACGAUGUUGGGAGGAUGUCUUCCUUCAUUCUUUCCACCUUUUUGUUAUGUUAUUUCCAUAAAGGUCUAAUGAUGUCUUCCGCAGAUACGAACUAGGCUCUCGAUCUGAACAGUUAUGGCAGCUUUAAAAGUGCCAAGUGCAGAAAAUUGAUAGUGAAAAAUGCAGUGAUUAAUGUAAGGAAGACAUCCCAUCUUCAUUAAAUACCUAUGUUAAGAAGAGGAAGAAAUACUACAAGAAAAACAAAACAAAGGCAAGAAGAGUUACGAAGCUCCACUAAAAACAUUCCAGUUAUCUUGUCACAUAGAAAUAAUACUCAAGAAAGGGUUUAUACUUAUUCCUGCCAAUAAAUUUCUUGUAAAGAGACCAAACUGAAA
Pogoniulus pusillus (Red-fronted tinkerbird) is the source of this 556-nucleotide long non-coding RNA. RefSeq lists it as uncharacterized. Lineage: Eukaryota; Metazoa; Chordata; Aves; Piciformes; Lybiidae. The record is from RefSeq and is a predicted model, not a curated record. The transcript is spliced from 2 exons.